Molecule: non-coding RNA, 26 nt
Filed under: Bombyx mori (domestic silkworm)
Lineage: Eukaryota; Metazoa; Arthropoda; Insecta; Lepidoptera; Bombycidae
Source: RNAcentral
AUCGUAUUGACGGGUACAGUGGUGUU